CAGAUGAAUGAUCAGUCCAUCAAAAAGCAGGACUAUAGAGCUUACCUAUUAGCUACUUUACAUGGAACCUUCAUGAGUUCUUCAAUAUAACCAUGUUGAGCAAGUACCACAUCAGCAUAGGAACUUCAUAUGGUGGAUCUAUGAAGAUACACUAUAAACCAACUAAAACACAACAUAGUUGCCUUGAAUCCAACUCAUGCAGUGGACACAAGACUAGUCAUAUAGGACACAUAAUGAUGUACCCCGAACUUGACGAUUUGAUAGCCUUCACACCCAG
Molecule: unclassified non-coding RNA, 277 nt
Filed under: Hevea brasiliensis (rubber tree)
Lineage: Eukaryota; Viridiplantae; Streptophyta; Magnoliopsida; Malpighiales; Euphorbiaceae
Source: RNAcentral